This 2242-nucleotide ribosomal RNA is filed under the name Salmonella enterica. Its description in RNAcentral is "partial 23S ribosomal RNA". It matches the Rfam family "Bacterial large subunit ribosomal RNA", at positions 711 to 2925 of the family's 2925-position model. Lineage: Bacteria; Pseudomonadati; Pseudomonadota; Gammaproteobacteria; Enterobacterales; Enterobacteriaceae. The record is from RNAcentral.
AGACCCGAAACCCGGUGAUCUAGCCAUGGGCAGGUUGAAGGUUGGGUAACACUAACUGGAGGACCGAACCGACUAAUGUUGAAAAAUUAGCGGAUGACCUGUGGCUGGGGGUGAAAGGCCAAUCAAACCGGGAGAUAGCUGGUUCUCCCCGAAAGCUAUUUAGGUAGCGCCUCGUGAAUUCAUCUCCGGGGGUAGAGCACUGUUUCGGCUAGGGGGCCAUCCCGGCUUACCAACCCGAUGCAAACUGCGAAUACCGGAGAAUGUUAUCACGGGAGACACACGGCGGGUGCUAACGUCCGUCGUGAAGAGGGAAACAACCCAGACCGCCAGCUAAGGUCCCAAAGUCAUGGUUAAGUGGGAAACGAUGUGGGAAGGCCCAGACAGCCAGGAUGUUGGCUUAGAAGCAGCCAUCAUUUAAAGAAAGCGUAAUAGCUCACUGGUCGAGUCGGCCUGCGCGGAAGAUGUAACGGGGCUAAACCAUGCACCGAAGCUGCGGCAGCGACACUCAGGUGUUGUUGGGUAGGGGAGCGUUCUGUAAGCCUGCGAAGGUGGCCUGUGAGGGUUGCUGGAGGUAUCAGAAGUGCGAAUGCUGACAUAAGUAACGAUAAAGCGGGUGAAAAGCCCGCUCGCCGGAAGACCAAGGGUUCCUGUCCAACGUUAAUCGGGGCAGGGUGAGUCGACCCCUAAGGCGAGGCCGAAAGGCGUAGUCGAUGGGAAACGGGUUAAUAUUCCCGUACUUGGUGUUACUGCGAAGGGGGGACGGAGAAGGCUAUGUUGGCCGGGCGACGGUUGUCCCGGUUUAAGCGUGUAGGUGUGUGUUCCAGGUAAAUCCGGUUCACUUUAACACUGAGGCGUGAUGACGAGGCACUACGGUGCUGAAGCAACAAAUGCCCUGCUUCCAGGAAAAGCCUCUAAGCAUCAGGUAACAUCAAAUCGUACCCCAAACCGACACAGGUGGUCAGGUAGAGAAUACCAAGGCGCUUGAGAGAACUCGGGUGAAGGAACUAGGCAAAAUGGUGCCGUAACUUCGGGAGAAGGCACGCUGACACGUAGGUGAAGUGAUUUACUCAUGGAGCUGAAGUCAGUCGAAGAUACCAGCUGGCUGCAACUGUUUAUUAAAAACACAGCACUGUGCAAACACGAAAGUGGACGUAUACGGUGUGACGCCUGCCCGGUGCCGGAAGGUUAAUUGAUGGGGUCAGCGCAAGCGAAGCUCCUGAUCGAAGCCCCGGUAAACGGCGGCCGUAACUAUAACGGUCCUAAGGUAGCGAAAUUCCUUGUCGGGUAAGUUCCGACCUGCACGAAUGGCGUAAUGAUGGCCAGGCUGUCUCCACCCGAGACUCAGUGAAAUUGAACUCGCUGUGAAGAUGCAGUGUACCCGCGGCAAGACGGAAAGACCCCGUGAACCUUUACUAUAGCUUGACACUGAACAUUGAGCCUUGAUGUGUAGGAUAGGUGGGAGGCUUUGAAGUGUGGACGCCAGUCUGCAUGGAGCCGACCUUGAAAUACCACCCUUUAAUGUUUGAUGUUCUAACGUGGACCCGUGAUCCGGGUUGCGGACAGUGUCUGGUGGGUAGUUUGACUGGGGCGGUCUCCUCCUAAAGAGUAACGGAGGAGCACGAAGGUUGGCUAAUCCUGGUCGGACAUCAGGAGGUUAGUGCAAUGGCAUAAGCCAGCUUGACUGCGAGCGUGACGGCGCGAGCAGGUGCGAAAGCAGGUCAUAGUGAUCCGGUGGUUCUGAAUGGAAGGGCCAUCGCUCAACGGAUAAAAGGUACUCCGGGGAUAACAGGCUGAUACCGCCCAAGAGUUCAUAUCGACGGCGGUGUUUGGCACCUCGAUGUCGGCUCAUCACAUCCUGGGGCUGAAGUAGGUCCCAAGGGUAUGGCUGUUCGCCAUUUAAAGUGGUACGCGAGCUGGGUUUAGAACGUCGUGAGACAGUUCGGUCCCUAUCUGCCGUGGGCGCUGGAGAACUGAGGGGGGCUGCUCCUAGUACGAGAGGACCGGAGUGGACGCAUCACUGGUGUUCGGGUUGUCAUGCCAAUGGCACUGCCCGGUAGCUAAAUGCGGAAGAGAUAAGUGCUGAAAGCAUCUAAGCACGAAACUUGCCCCGAGAUGAGUUCUCCCUGAGACUUUAAGUCUCCUGAAGGAACGUUGAAGACGACGACGUUGAUAGGCCGGGUGUGUAAGCGCAGCGAUGCGUUGAGCUAACCGGUACUAAUGAACCGUGAGGCUUAACCUUACA